Molecule: ribosomal RNA, 501 nt
Filed under: uncultured Glomeromycotina
Lineage: Eukaryota; Fungi; Glomeromycota
Description: partial small subunit ribosomal RNA
Rfam family: Eukaryotic small subunit ribosomal RNA
Source: RNAcentral
CCAAUAGCGUAUAUUAAAGUUGUUGCAGUUAAAAAGCUCGUAGUUGAACCUUAGGCCCGUGCGGGCGGUCCGUCCUCUGGGCGAGCACUGCCUCGUCGCGGGUCUCACCUUCUGGCGAGCGUGGAUGCCAUUCACUUGGUGUCUGCGGGAACCAGGACCUUUACCUUGAAAAAAUUAGAGUGCUCAAAGCGGGCUCUUACGCUUGAAUACAUUAGCAUGGAAUAAUGAAAUAGGACGACUAUUCUAUUUUGUUGGUUUCCGGGACGGUCGUAAUGAUUAAUAGGGAUAGUUGGGGGCAUUCGUAUUCAAUUGUCAGAGGUGAAAUUCUUGGAUUUAUUGAAGACGGACUACUGCGAAAGCAUUUGCCAAGGAUGUUUUCAUUAAUCAAGAACGAAAGUUGGGGGAUCGAAGACGAUCAGAUACCGUCGUAGUCUCAACCAUAAACUAUGCCGACUGGGAAUCGGGCGAUGUUAUUUUUCGUGACUCGCUCGGCGCCCCGAG